Molecule: ribosomal RNA, 497 nt
Filed under: uncultured bacterium
Lineage: Bacteria
Description: partial 16S ribosomal RNA
Rfam family: Bacterial small subunit ribosomal RNA
Source: RNAcentral
GAUGAACGCUGGCGGCGUGCCUAAUACAUGCAAGUCGAGCGAACAGACGAGGAGCUUGCUCCUCUGACGUUAGCGGCGGACGGGUGAGUAACACGUGGAUAACCUACCUAUAAGACUGGGAUAACUUCGGGAAACCGGAGCUAAUACCGGAUAAUAUAUUGAACCGCAUGGUUCAAUAGUGAAAGACGGUUUUGCUGUCACUUAUAGAUGGAUCCGCGCCGCAUUAGCUAGUUGGUAAGGUAACGGCUUACCAAGGCAACGAUGCGUAGCCGAGCUGAGAGGGUGGUCGGCCACACUGGAACUGAGACACGGUCCAGACUCCUACGGGAGGCAGCAGUAGGGAAUCUUACGCAAUGGGCGAAAGCCUGACGGAGCAACGCCGCGUGAGUGAUGAAGGUCUUCGGAUCGUAAAACUCUGUUAUUAGGGAAGAACAAAUGUGUAAGUAACUAUGCACGUCUUGACGGUACCUAAUCAGAAAGCCACGGCUAACUACGUG